This 91-nucleotide non-coding RNA is filed under the name human gut metagenome. Its description in RNAcentral is "TPP riboswitch (THI element)". It matches the Rfam family "TPP riboswitch aptamer (THI element)", at positions 9 to 90 of the family's 105-position model. From Rfam's summary of the family: Vitamin B(1) in its active form thiamin pyrophosphate (TPP) is an essential coenzyme that is synthesised by coupling of pyrimidine and thiazole moieties in bacteria. The previously detected thiamin-regulatory element, thi box was extended, resulting in a new, highly conserved RNA secondary structure, the THI element, which is widely distributed in eubacteria and also occurs in some archaea. Analysis of operon structures identified a large number of new candidate thiamin-regulated genes, mostly transporters, in various prokaryotic organisms. The record is from RNAcentral.
ACAAGGGGUGCUGGCGUACGCCGGCUGAGAGAGCUGCACAGCUCAACUCUUUUACCUGAUCCGGGUAAUGCCGGCGGAGGGAUGGUUUUUU